UAACGAAUCUUGGGCAAUGGGCGCAAGCCUGACCCAGCGAUGCCGCGUGCUGGAGGAAGCCCCUCGGGGUGUAAACUGCUGUCAGGGGUUAGCAAGCGAAGGGAGUUAACAGCUCCCGGAGUUGAGCAGCCCCAGAGGAAGCCUCGACUAACUCUGUGCCAGCAGUCGCGGUAAGACAGAGGAGGCAAGCGUUGUUCGGAAUCCCUGGGCUUAAAGCGCGUGUAGGCGGCCGAGUAAGUGGUGUGGGAAAGCCCGCGGCUCAACCGCGGAACGGCACGGCAAACUGGUCGGCUUGAGGUCGGUAGAGGUGCCUGGAACUCUAGGUGGAGCGGUGAAAUGCGUAGAUAUCUAGAGGAACGCCGGAGGCGAAAGCGGGGCACUGGGCCGAUUCUGACGCUGAGACGCGAAAGCGUGGGGAGCAAACA
Molecule: ribosomal RNA, 425 nt
Filed under: uncultured prokaryote
Description: bacterial SSU rRNA
Rfam family: Bacterial small subunit ribosomal RNA
Source: RNAcentral